AUUGAACGCUGGCGGCAUGCUUUACACAUGCAAGUCGAACGGCAGCACGGGCUUCGGCCUGGUGGCGAGUGGCGAACGGGUGAGUAAUAUAUCGGAACGUACCCAGAAGUGGGGGAUAACGUAGCGAAAGUUACGCUAAUACCGCAUACGAUCUAUGGAUGAAAGCAGGGGACCGCAAGGCCUUGUGCUCCUGGAGCGGCCGAUAUCUGAUUAGCUAGUUGGUGAGGUAAAGGCUCACCAAGGCGACGAUCAGUAGCUGGUCUGAGAGGACGACCGGCCACACUGGAACUGAGACACGGUCCAGACUCCUACGGGAGGCAGCAGUGGGGAAUUUUGGACAAUGGGCGCAAGCCUGAUCCAGCAAUGCCGCGUGAGUGAAGAAGGCCUUCGGGUUGUAAAGCUCUUUUGUCAGGGAAGAAACGGUAGAGGCUAAUAUCCUUUGCUAAUGACGGUACCUGAAGAAUAAGCACCGGCUAACUACGU
RNAcentral lists this ribosomal RNA (483 nucleotides) under uncultured bacterium. RNAcentral describes it as "partial 16S ribosomal RNA". It matches the Rfam family "Bacterial small subunit ribosomal RNA", at positions 30 to 506 of the family's 1533-position model. The record is from RNAcentral.